This is a long non-coding RNA of Quercus lobata, 430 nucleotides long. RefSeq lists it as uncharacterized. The transcript is spliced from 3 exons. NCBI's taxonomy places the organism in Eukaryota, Viridiplantae, Streptophyta, Magnoliopsida, Fagales, Fagaceae. The record is from RefSeq and is a predicted model, not a curated record.
AUUAACGUGCAGACUUUUAACCUUGAAGUUUCAACAAGGAAGUGAAAGUGGCUGAUUAAAUGGAGCUCUUCAGGGUCAUGGAGAAAAAUCUAAGCUGGAGGGAAGUACACAGAGUAGGCAACAGGUUUGUCAAACCUAAUGCAGCAUAUUAUGGCACUAGCAGAUAGUCUUCAUGCUGACAGUCCUCAGGGAGACUCAUUUUACCGUGUAUGAGUGAAGGUGUGGCUCAACCUAACUACUUGGCAAGCUAAAGCCAGCUUUGAGCAUAAAGAGCAAUGUUGAGAGGACUGAAGGGUGUAAAUACAUUAAUAUUUGAGGGUGUAAAUACAUUAAUAUUUGCGUAGUUGAAAGGUUUCUGUUGUCAGUGUCUUUCUUAAGAGUGCAUCUGAAAUCCAUUACUAAUUAUUAAAUAAAUCGUGUGAUUAUUAAA